AUACGGAGGGGGCUAGCGUUGUUCGGAAUUACUGGGCGUAAAGCGCACGUAGGCGGACUGGAAAGUCAGAGGUGAAAUCCCAGGGCUCAACCUUGGAACUGCCUUUGAAACUAUCAGUCUGGAGUUCGAGAGAGGUGAGUGGAAUUCCGAGUGUAGAGGUGAAAUUCGUAGAUAUUCGGAGGAACACCAGUGGCGAAGGCGGCUCACUGGCUCGAUACUGACGCUGAGGUGCGAAAGCGUGGGGAGC
This 247-nucleotide ribosomal RNA is filed under the name uncultured bacterium. RNAcentral's name for it is "partial 16S ribosomal RNA". It matches the Rfam family "Bacterial small subunit ribosomal RNA", at positions 523 to 769 of the family's 1533-position model. The record is from RNAcentral.